CCGAGCACCCACCUGCGCCCACCCCGCAGGGAUUGUGCAGCCACGUGCGGGUACCUGCGGGUGCCGCGGCGCUGCGGGGGGCAGCACACCCGCACCCCCCUGCUGCAGCGCUGCCCCCGCCUCCAGCACCUCCCGCCCUGCGCCCCCGGGCACCUCCAGCCCCACGCCGAGCUCCCCGUGAAGCAGGACGAGGUGGAGCUGCUGGGCCAGGACGGGCACAUCUACAAGGGCCGGCGGGACGCACGGCUGCCCGCCCUCGUGGGGAAGGACGGCACCCCCAGGCCCCAGGAGCUCCGGACAGCGUCACCCCACGGCCGCGUCCCCCAGGGACCGGGGCUCCCCUCGCCCCCGUGGGCGCCGCAGGAUGGGAGAGAGACCCCGGCAUUGGAGAGGGGCCGGGGGGGCCCGGCUGGGAGCCCCCCCUGGGCACCAUACGGGGGGGUCGGCCAGGAGCAAUAAAGGGCGGUGGAUG
This is a long non-coding RNA of Oxyura jamaicensis (ruddy duck), 472 nucleotides long. RefSeq lists it as uncharacterized. Lineage: Eukaryota; Metazoa; Chordata; Aves; Anseriformes; Anatidae. The transcript is spliced from 3 exons. The record is from RefSeq and is a predicted model, not a curated record.